This 1369-nucleotide ribosomal RNA is filed under the name uncultured bacterium. RNAcentral's name for it is "bacterial SSU rRNA". It matches the Rfam family "Bacterial small subunit ribosomal RNA", at positions 28 to 1381 of the family's 1533-position model. The record is from RNAcentral.
GACGAACGCUGGCGGCGUGCCUAAUACAUGCAAGUAGAACGCUGAAGAGAGGAGCUUGCUCUUCUUGGAUGAGUUGCGAACGGGUGAGUAACGCGUAGGUAACCUGCCUUGUAGCGGGGGAUAACUAUUGGAAACGAUAGCUAAUACCGCAUAACAAUGGAUGACCCAUGUCAUUUAUUUGAAAGGGGCAAAUGCUCCACUACAAGAUGGACCUGCGUUGUAUUAGCUAGUAGGUGAGGUAACGGCUCACCUAUGCGACGAUACAUAGCCGACCUGAGAGGGUGAUCGGCCACACUGGGACUGAGACACGGCCCAGACUCCUACGGGAGGCAGCAGUAGGGAAUCUUCGGCAAUGGGGGCAACCCUGACCGAGCAACGCCGCGUGAGUGAAGAAGGUUUUCGGAUCGUAAAGCUCUGUUGUAAGUCAAGAACGAGUGUGAGAGUGGAAAGUUCACACUGUGACGGUAGCUUACCAGAAAGGGACGGCUAACUACGUGCCAGCAGCCGCGGUAAUACGUAGGUCCCGAGCGUUGUCCGGAUUUAUUGGGCGUAAAGCGAGCGCAGGCGGUUUGAUAAGUCUGAAGUUAAAGGCUGUGGCUCAACCAUAGUUCGCUUUGGAAACUGUCAAACUUGAGUGCAGAAGGGGAGAGUGGAAUUCCAUGUGUAGCGGUGAAAUGCGUAGAUAUAUGGAGGAACACCGGUGGCGAAAGCGGCUCUCUGGUCUGUAACUGACGCUGAGGCUCGAAAGCGUGGGGAGCGAACAGGAUUAGAUACCCUGGUAGUCCACGCCGUAAACGAUGAGUGCUAGGUGUUGGAUCCUUUCCGGGAUUCAGUGCCGCAGCUAACGCAUUAAGCACUCCGCCUGGGGAGUACGACCGCAAGGUUGAAACUCAAAGGAAUUGACGGGGGCCCGCACAAGCGGUGGAGCAUGUGGUUUAAUUCGAAGCAACGCGAAGAACCUUACCAGGUCUUGACAUCCCGAUGCUAUUUCUAGAGAUAGAAAGUUACUUCGGUACAUCGGUGACAGGUGGUGCAUGGUUGUCGUCAGCUCGUGUCGUGAGAUGUUGGGUUAAGUCCCGCAACGAGCGCAACCCCUAUUGUUAGUUGCCAUCACUCAGUUGGGCACUCUAGCGAGACUGCCGGUAAUAAACCGGAGGAAGGUGGGGAUGACGUCAAAUCAUCAUGCCCCUUAUGACCUGGGCUACACACGUGCUACAAUGGUUGGUACAACGAGUUGCGAGUCGGUGACGGCAAGCUAAUCUCUUAAAGCCAAUCUCAGUUCGGAUUGUAGGCUGCAACUCGCCUACAUGAAGUCGGAAUCGCUAGUAAUCGCGGAUCAGCACGCCGCGGUGAAUACGUUCCCGGGCCU